This 395-nucleotide ribosomal RNA is filed under the name uncultured bacterium. RNAcentral's name for it is "bacterial SSU rRNA". It matches the Rfam family "Bacterial small subunit ribosomal RNA", at positions 28 to 417 of the family's 1533-position model. The record is from RNAcentral.
GACGAACGCUGGCGGCGUGCCUAACACAUGUAAGUCGCACGGGACUGGAGGGCAACUUCCAGUUCAGUGGCAGACGGGUGCGUAACACGUGAGGAACCUGUCCGACGGCGGGGGAUAGCCGGCCCAACGGCCGGGUAAUACCGCAUACGAUCAUUUGGGGGCAUCCCUGAAUGAAGAAAGCAGCCGCAAGGUUGCGCCGAUGGAGGGUCUCGCGGCCUAUCAGCUAGUGGCGGGGUAAUGGCCCACCAAGGCGACGACGGGUAGCUGGUCUGAGAGGAUGGCCAGCCACAUUGGGACUGAGACACGGCCCAGACUCCUACGGGAGGCAGCAGUGGGGAAUCUUGCGCAAUGGCCGCAAGGCUGACGCAGCGACGCCGCGUGUGGGAUGACGGCCU